This 898-nucleotide long non-coding RNA is filed under the name Homo sapiens (human). Its description in RNAcentral is "novel transcript". The record is from RNAcentral. Lineage: Eukaryota; Metazoa; Chordata; Mammalia; Primates; Hominidae.
AAGAGAGUGAAGUGGCAGGAUAGACAAAAGUAGGGCAUCUAGGGGGAUAUGGGAAUGUUUGUUAGUGAUUGUGAUUUCUGCUAUAAGGGUAACGAUUAGGCAGAAGGCUAAAAUGAGGGAGACUUUUUGGCUAGUAUUCCGAUUGGAAGGAGUUACAUUAUAUAAUUUCACUGUAAACAAUAGGCUUUCUUGGGGAAGAAAACACAUGCACAAAUCCUGGUGUAAGGAAUAUUUUAAGCAUAUAUCUUCAAUAUCAUUCAUCCAGGACCGAGGUGCUACACAUGAAACUUGUAACCAGUUACUACAGGCGAAAGCAAAUCCAUGUCUUCAGGCUGGUGUCAUCAGGGAGAGAAGCUUUGGUUUCCACAUAAGGAUAUAAGAUCAUUGAUGUAAAACAAGACAUGUAACCUCUCAAAUUGAGAGAAUGGAUUGGAGAGAUAUUGUUGACCAUGUUUUCCCCUGUAUCUCACCUUCCCCUCUCCAAGACUUCCUUGUCAGUUACCCAUAUUGAUAUCAGUUUAUCCACAUCCAUGCUUUCAAGUUUAAACAAAGAAACUAGGCAAAGGCAGCUAUGUAUUCGCUAGGAUUAGGGAGGAGAAGAUAAUGAACCACUGGAUAGUGAGAAGAAAGAGAGGUGGAGAAAGUGAGAGACCCCAGUAACAGAGGACAGGGACACAUUGCUAAGGAUAGGGACACAUUCACUGUAAUAUAGAAGGCCAUGCUUAUAUGUAAAAUAUGCAGUAAUUGUAUAUAUAUGUACAAAAGUGAUGACACACAUAUGCACAUAAACAAAACACAAUUACUGUCUAUGUUUCUUUAUUUGUGACCUAAUGUUUUAUGUUGUUUGUAACUGAAAAAAAAAUUCCCUUCUGAAUAAAAUGUCAAUUUUGCGAUUGCA